This is a long non-coding RNA of Myripristis murdjan (pinecone soldierfish), 2619 nucleotides long. RefSeq lists it as uncharacterized. NCBI's taxonomy places the organism in Eukaryota, Metazoa, Chordata, Actinopteri, Holocentriformes, Holocentridae. The record is from RefSeq and is a predicted model, not a curated record. The transcript is spliced from 3 exons.
CUGCGUCAGUCUUCUUUUUCAUGUCAGCAAUAACACAAUUACUGCUGAGAAAAAGGUCCAUUAGAAGUGGCAGCAUGUGACAACGGCACAAUCAGACAGCCUGCAGGGGAUUUUUUGUUCGAUGGAGGACAGUGGGAUAAUCUAAACUGCAGCAGGCUGAGCAGGCACAACCGAACUAAGUGAAUGCUAUGGUCGGGCAUGCUCGUGGCAAACACAAGUCCAGAGUCAUUCCCCCCAUCCAGGCCAUUGAGCCAUGAAGUCACACCAGCCAGGAAACUGGAUCCUCGUUUAGACUUUCUGUAGGCUGGCAGAGGCCAGCGGCCUGAUAUAGCCUCUGUCCUCAGGUCCAUCACAUAGAGGAAGUGGUUGUCAAAUAGGAGGGCGAACACCUCGCCAAAGCUGAGCAAGGAGAGGUUUGCCGGGUCCUGCAUUUUUAUCACCCUGGGAACAUCAAGGCAAAGAGAAGUAAGAAAUUGGUACUAUUUGGCUCAAGUUCGUAAUUGCGUUGUGCAAAUUAGUAGUCAUGUACACACACAGUUUAAGUUUGAAAGCCUCACAUUUGGACAUUAAUUCUCCAGUAAUGCUAAAGUUAGUUAAAGUGAAUGUUCAGAUUCAGAUUGUGUAGGCUGAUAAAUGUGAGUGUAAUACAUCCACAGUUUGGUCCAUUAAUUCCUCCCCCGUUGCAAGAAUGAGAGCUUCACCAGGAGUGUACUGCUGCAAAAUGAAUCAAGUAGAUAUAGACCAGCAAACAACAUGAUUGUGAGUGGUAACACAAAGCUAUAAAUUAUUUUGAAGGAUGCAAAACAACAACCCACGCAUGUUCAGGUUUCAUUUUCAAUGCUCUUUUCAGCACCCUGGUGUCCAAAGUGGCACAACUAUUUUGUGUCGUAGCACUGCCACUGUAUCACCACACAAUGUCACAGAGUGCUGAACAUGAAACCAAAACAAACUUGUAUUGUUGUGCAUCCUUCAAAACAAUUAAUCAGCUUUGUGUUGCCUCUCAAUUGUGUUAUUUUCCUGUCUGUGUGUAUUUCAUUUAUGUUUGAAGCAGAACACUCCUCGUGAAGCUCUCGUUCUUACAACGAGGAGGAAAUUAAAGGACCAAACUCGGUGGAUGUAUUAUACUAACAUGUAAAAGCAAAUACCACUAUAUGGGUCAGAAUCCAAACUAUCACUUUAACAUUCAGGCAGCAGAGAAACAAAAGUUUAGACACCACCACUUUGUAUUGAGAAGAAUAGUGGGGAGCCAAUCAGAGCCAUUGAUUUGAGUGACUCAAUAUUCAGCAGAGAUGAAGCCAAACACUCAACGCUGCAUGUAACCAAAUUCAAAUGUCAUUCAAAUGUCAUCGCCUCAUAAAGUUACCAGUGUGGCACUUGACAACAGAACUCUGGAGAGGCCAUGUUGACUUUUUAAAAAAAUUUCAUGUGCACAAUCAUGCCCAAAGUCCUAAUUCAUGUCCACGAUUUACUUAUUUUAUAAUCUCAAUUUGCUAUCUCAAGCUCUCAGUUUAAUGGCACUGUGCCUCGUCUGAAAAAAACACGCCUACAACGUCAGAGACUGGAGCACUAGUGCUGCAUGUGCCUCCAGGAUGCCCAAAAAUGUAUAAUGAAUUAUAUGAUUUUAUAUGAAUUUUAAUAAUAAGAGCAACUUAUGACAUUCACAAUUCAGAUACCCUCCUGUAAACUCUGUGAUUAAUGCUUCUGCCUCCAAAAACUUGGAUUGCAUUUAGUGAUGGGAUGUUUGUUAGGUGUUGAUUUCAAUCCUUGCGCAUUAUAGUAUACACACAAGAAUGAGUUGCUCCAGCUGCAUAAAAAUGAACAUAAAAUAGCUGACCUGAGAAUCUCAAAACUGGCAAAGUCCCACUGAUAAACUCCGAGGUCAGAGCUGCAGACAAUGUAGCGUCCAUCAAACUGCAGGCGUGGCUGAAGGCUGACGCUGCGAUCCUCCGACACUGACAGGGUCUUCAAGCACUUGCAGUUUAUCUCUCUCCCUAAAGGCCAAACCUUCAGAGGGGAGGGAAAAAAGUGUUUGCUCCACCCAAUGGACAUUUCAACUAUUACAGUUUACAGAUGUGAACCAUCAUGUACAGAGACAACUUACAUAGUGUAAAAAGUAUAAAGUGUAAAAAGCUGUUUUUCAAACUAAGAGUAAAAGGGGAUAGAGACAGCAAUAUAGAGAUGUUAACAUUACCUUAAUUUCAUACUUAUCAGCACUUAAGAGGAUAUAAUCACCAGGACUGUGCACCAUAGAUUCUACUUCACUUUUCUGCAGUAUCACCUGACAGAAGAUAAACACAGAUACAGUUGGUUAAGAACAGCGAAAGAUUUUUAUGGCUGUAUUCAGAUGUUUUCAGUUUAAGACAAAACCAGUUUGGAUCUCUGUUUACACUGUAAUGCAACUUAUAUUUAAUGGCAGUUUCCUUUUAUCACUGUGACUAGAGAUUCACUACCUUUUCACUUUGCAUUGCAACCACUGAAAAUUAGGGAACAGCUAAUCUGAAACGUAUCACGUCAAUAGGAAACACAUUUAAACCAAUCAAUGGCAACUGGGAACCAUUCAUGGUAUGACACCAAGCUGAAUUUCUGACACGGUCAUGCUUUGAAAAAAAAAAAAAAAAA